UUGGGACUUUCUCUCCAAGUAUUGCUUCCAGCAACACUUCCAGCAAUUUCAGUAAUUCACAGCAGCGGCCAUUGUCAAUUUUAAGCCAGGAACGACGAAGCAAUCAAAGUCCCCAUGCACCAUGGAUGCCAGCCAGUGGUACUUAACGUUUAACGUUUUCUGUUGGAUAAAAUCUGGAUAAGUAGGCAAAGAAAAAGAGAGGGAGUUGGUGUAAAAAAGAUUGGGUUGCUAUAUUAUGCAUGUUGUAAGAUUUUUUUUUCUGAGGUUUGGAUAUGUAAACAGUCUUUCUUGCACUUGACAGUUAUCUCCUUAACAAAAGCUGACCCAAAAUUUUCGUAGCAUCA
Long non-coding RNA from Asparagus officinalis (garden asparagus), 344 nucleotides. RefSeq lists it as uncharacterized. The record is from RefSeq and is a predicted model, not a curated record. The transcript is spliced from 2 exons. Lineage: Eukaryota; Viridiplantae; Streptophyta; Magnoliopsida; Asparagales; Asparagaceae.